This 657-nucleotide unclassified non-coding RNA is filed under the name Hevea brasiliensis (rubber tree). Lineage: Eukaryota; Viridiplantae; Streptophyta; Magnoliopsida; Malpighiales; Euphorbiaceae. The record is from RNAcentral.
UUAAUUAGAUGUUAUUUAAAUUGUAUAAAAAUAUUUAAAUAAUAUUAUCUUUUUGGGUAAAUAUUGAAUAAGUAUAAUAAUAAAAUGCUUUAAUAACUUAAAAUAAAAAAAAAUUAAUGAGAUUUAUCUCAAUUGUAUUGGAGUUGUAAAAAAUGUAAGAUUUCAAUUUGGCAAUUGGAACCCAUUGAAUCAAUGAAAAUUUAAAAUAAAAAGUCAAAAUUAAAAUACACAUACAAUCGAAAUAAACUAAUAGUAAUAUUAGCAUUCCAACUUCUUAUAUGAGACCAUAUUGGAUAAGUUAUUUGAUAUGAACUUAGGAGAAUCGCACCCCAAAGGCUAGCUAUUGAGGUUUGAGAGCCCAAGUCCAUAUAUACCAAUGUGACACAAGGUUUCUUGCAAUGAGAUCGUAACAUUAUUCUUAUGAUUCAAUAAUUUAACAUUAAAAAUAUAGAAGUUAAAGAAAAAAAUGGUGUGGCUAUUAUUGUUGCCAACUGCUGAGUCCAUAAAAAAUUGAAAUGGUUGAAUAACUUAUUUAAAAUGUGCCUUCAGUUUUGGGCCUCUUGAGAAAAAAAAUAUAUAUAUAGUGCGGCACUGUUAGAGGAACAAUGCCAAUUCUUUCCAUUUAAGUACAUAUAAUAAAAUAAUUACGUGGCACUU